This 253-nucleotide ribosomal RNA is filed under the name uncultured bacterium. RNAcentral's name for it is "partial 16S ribosomal RNA". It matches the Rfam family "Bacterial small subunit ribosomal RNA", at positions 524 to 776 of the family's 1533-position model. The record is from RNAcentral.
UACGUAGGUGGCUAGCGUUGUCCGGAUUUACUGGGCGUAAAGAGCGCGCAGGCGGUCGUUCAAGUCGAGUGUGAAAGCCCCCGGCUCAACUGGGGAGGGUCACUCGAUACUGAUCGACUCGAAGGCAGGAGAGGGAAGCGGAAUUCCCGGUGUAGUGGUGAAAUGCGUAGAUAUCGGGAGGAACACCAGUGGCGAAGGCGGCUUUCUGGCCUGCUCUUGGCGCUGAGGCGCGAAAGCUAGGGUAGCAAACGGG